RNAcentral lists this ribosomal RNA (499 nucleotides) under uncultured Candidatus Saccharibacteria bacterium. RNAcentral describes it as "bacterial SSU rRNA". It matches the Rfam family "Bacterial small subunit ribosomal RNA", at positions 1 to 524 of the family's 1533-position model. Lineage: Bacteria; Candidatus Saccharimonadota. The record is from RNAcentral.
ACUGUACAGUAGAGUUUGAUCCUGGCUCAGGAUUAACGCUGGCGGAGUGCCUAACACAUGCAAGUCGAGCGGCAGCGGGAGUAGUUUACUACUUGCCGGCGAGCGGCGGACGGCUGAAUAACGCGUGGGAACGUGCCCCAAAGUGAGGAAUAACUGCCCGAAAGGGUAGCUAAUGCCGCAUAUGAUCUUCGGAUUAAAGUAUUUAUUACGCUUUGGGAGCGGCCCGCGUCCGAUUAGGUAGUUGGUGAGGUAAAGGCUCACCAAGCCCACGAUCGGUAGCUGGUCUGAGAGGAUGACCAGCCAGACUGGAACUGAGACACGGUCCAGACUCCUACGGGAGGCAGCAGUGAGGAAUCUUCCACAAUGGACGAAAGUCUGAUGGAGCAACUCCGCGUGCAGGAUGAAGGCCUUAGGGUCGUAAACUGCUUUUAUGAGUGAAGAAUAUGACGGUAACUCAUGAAUAAGGGUCGGCUAACUACGUGCCAGCCGCCGCGGUAAU